Molecule: long non-coding RNA, 212 nt
Filed under: Ananas comosus (pineapple)
Lineage: Eukaryota; Viridiplantae; Streptophyta; Magnoliopsida; Poales; Bromeliaceae
Description: long non-coding RNA (ACOM_LNC001362)
Source: RNAcentral
AAAAAAAAAAAAAAAAAAAAAAAAUUUUUUCUGUGUAAAAAGGUUGAGGCGGGGGGGGGGGGGGGGGGGGGGGGGGGGGGGGGGGGGGAGGGGGGGGGGGGGGGGGGGGGGGGGGGGGGGGGGGGGGGGGGGGGGGGGGGGGGGGGGGGGGGGGGGGGGGGGGGGGGGGGGGGGGGGGGGGGGGGGGGGGGGGGGGGGGGGGGGGGGGUUUG